This 983-nucleotide ribosomal RNA is filed under the name Didysimulans mezzanensis. RNAcentral describes it as "SSU rRNA". It matches the Rfam family "Eukaryotic small subunit ribosomal RNA", at positions 68 to 1062 of the family's 1831-position model. The record is from RNAcentral. Lineage: Eukaryota; Fungi; Ascomycota; Dothideomycetes; Pleosporales; Didymellaceae.
UAUAGCAUUAUACCGUGAAACUGCGAAUGGCUCAUUAAAUCAGUUAUCGUUUAUUUGAUAGUACCUUACUACUUGGAUAACCGUGGUAAUUCUAGAGCUAAUACAUGCUGAAAACCCCAACUUCGGGAGGGGUGUAUUUAUUAGAUAAAAAACCAACGCCCUUCGGGGCUUCUUGGUGAUUCAUGAUAACUUAACGGAUCGCAUGGCCUUGCGCCGGCGACGGUUCAUUCAAAUUUCUGCCCUAUCAACUUUCGAUGGUAAGGUAUUGGCUUACCAUGGUUUCAACGGGUAACGGGGAAUUAGGGUUCGAUUCCGGAGAGGGAGCCUGAGAAACGGCUACCACAUCCAAGGAAGGCAGCAGGCGCGCAAAUUACCCAAUCCCGACACGGGGAGGUAGUGACAAUAAAUACUGAUACAGGGCUCUUUUGGGUCUUGUAAUUGGAAUGAGUACAAUUUAAACCUCUUAACGAGGAACAAUUGGAGGGCAAGUCUGGUGCCAGCAGCCGCGGUAAUUCCAGCUCCAAUAGCGUAUAUUAAAGUUGUUGCAGUUAAAAAGCUCGUAGUUGAACCUUGGGUCUGGCUGGCAGGUCCGCCUCACCGCGUGUACUUGUCCGGCCGGGCCUUCCUUCUGGAGAACCUCAUGCCCUUCACUGGGCGUGUUGGGGACCAGGACUUUUACUUUGAAAAAAUUAGAGUGUUCAAAGCAGGCCUUUGCUCGAAUACGUUAGCAUGGAAUAAUAAAAUAGGACGUGCGGUCCUAUUUUGUUGGUUUCUAGGACCGCCGUAAUGAUUAAUAGGGACAGUCGGGGGCAUCAGUAUUCAAUUGUCAGAGGUGAAAUUCUUGGAUUUAUUGAAGACUAACUACUGCGAAAGCAUUUGCCAAGGAUGUUUUCAUUAAUCAGUGAACGAAAGUUAGGGAUCGAAGACGAUCAGAUACCGUCGUAGUCUUAACCGUAACUAUGCCGACUAGGGAUCGGGCGAUG